RNAcentral lists this transfer RNA (69 nucleotides) under Regalecus glesne (king of herrings). Its description in RNAcentral is "tRNA-Ser (AGY)". Lineage: Eukaryota; Metazoa; Chordata; Actinopteri; Lampriformes; Regalecidae. The record is from RNAcentral.
GAGAGAGGCCAGUUAGGCACCAAGAACUGCUAAUUCCUGAAUCCCAGGUUAAAUCCCUAGGCUCACUCG